RNAcentral lists this ribosomal RNA (373 nucleotides) under uncultured Bacteroidota bacterium. RNAcentral's name for it is "bacterial SSU rRNA". It matches the Rfam family "Bacterial small subunit ribosomal RNA", at positions 521 to 896 of the family's 1533-position model. Lineage: Bacteria; Pseudomonadati; Bacteroidota. The record is from RNAcentral.
UAAUACGGAGGGUGCAAGCGUUAUCCGGAAUUAUUGGGUUUAAAGGGUGCGUAGGCGGGAGAUUAAGUCAGUGGUGAAAUCCUGCAGCUUAACUGUAGAACUGCCAUUGAUACUGGUUUCCUUGAGUAUAGCUGAAGUGGGCGGAAUGUGUAUUGUAGCGGUGAAAUGCUUAGAUAUUACACAGAACACCUAUUGCGAAGGCAGCUCACUAAACUAAUACUGACGCUGAGGCACGAAAGCGUGGGGAGCAAACAGGAUUAGAUACCCUGGUAGUCCACGCCGUAAACGUUGAUUACUCGAUGUGUGCGAUACACUGUACGCGUCUGAGCGAAAGCAUUAAGUAAUCCACCUGGGGAGUACGUUCGCAAGAAUG